RNAcentral lists this long non-coding RNA (353 nucleotides) under Rattus norvegicus (Norway rat). Its description in RNAcentral is "long non-coding RNA NONRATT001729". The record is from RNAcentral. Lineage: Eukaryota; Metazoa; Chordata; Mammalia; Rodentia; Muridae.
CUGUAAAUAGUUUUCUAAGAAAUAUUUAUUACAUGUUCUGUAUACAAAGUCGCAUUCUGAGUGAUGUUGGUGUGCAUUAUAUUGUAGAAGAUUAUAUUUUGAGUAGUGGACCUCUUUUACAACACAGUUCACUCAUGGAGAAAGAAACAAACCAGCAGGUUGAGAGCUGUCUGGGGCAUUUGACCUGUAAUGGACCAUCCAAUCCAAGCUUUAACCGCCCCCUCUUCUCCCCUGCUUGUGUUAUAUAUGUUAUAUAUACAGGUGUACAGUACAGGUCAGUGCUUGGGUCUGCAGAGCAGAUUCCCAGGUCUUCUUUCUGACGUGUUCCCAUAGCAAUAUGACCCCAGGUGCUG